Long non-coding RNA from Lepidothrix coronata (blue-crowned manakin), 306 nucleotides. RefSeq lists it as uncharacterized. The record is from RefSeq and is a predicted model, not a curated record. NCBI's taxonomy places the organism in Eukaryota, Metazoa, Chordata, Aves, Passeriformes, Pipridae. The transcript is spliced from 3 exons.
UUCCAGUGUAUUUGUUCUGAGAAAAUAGUGACCAUGUAAAUAAAAAGCAGCACUACCUAGCAGACAUUAAUGGUGAUUUACGUGCCAGCUGGGAUACUGUUGCACCAUUUGUGAUAGCACUGAAACCAAAAGAAAACCUUGGGCAACAACACUGAAAACACCUCAGGACCAGUGAUGAUGGGACCAGGACUGCUGCCAACUCUGCCUAAGAGUCAGAUGCAGGAAGCUGUUCCUUACCUGGAACCUUGUCACCUGGGAAGUAGAAGGACAUGUUGGUGUGGACAGUGACGUAGUUGCUGUUGGGGC